GUGGAUGUAGUUCAAUGGUAGAGCACUGGAUUGUGGUUCCAGGCGUUGUGGGGUCAAAUCCCAUCAUCCACCCCA
RNAcentral lists this transfer RNA (75 nucleotides) under Cloacimonas sp. (SeqCode). Its description in RNAcentral is "tRNA-His". It matches the Rfam family "tRNA". From Rfam's summary of the family: Transfer RNA (tRNA) molecules are approximately 80 nucleotides in length. Their secondary structure includes four short double-helical elements and three loops (D, anti-codon, and T loops). Further hydrogen bonds mediate the characteristic L-shaped molecular structure. tRNAs have two regions of fundamental functional importance: the anti-codon, which is responsible for specific mRNA codon recognition, and the 3' end, to which the tRNAs corresponding amino acid is attached (by aminoacyl-tRNA synthetases). tRNAs cope with the degeneracy of the genetic code in two manners: having more than one tRNA (with a specific anti-codon) for a particular amino acid; and 'wobble' base-pairing, i.e. permitting non-standard base-pairing at the 3rd anti-codon position. The record is from RNAcentral. Lineage: Bacteria; Pseudomonadati; Candidatus Cloacimonadota; Cloacimonadia (SeqCode); Cloacimonadales (SeqCode); Cloacimonadaceae (SeqCode).